CUUGAGUUUUCAUCUCAGUCAUUGCAACUUUGUGAAAAAAAUGUCAAGAAGGCCAAAUACCUCUCGCCGUCUUGCAGAUGCUGGGAGCAUUCCGUUUAUCGGCGCCUUUCACCCGAAAUCACGUCCAUCUCCUUUAUUGUCUAUAGGACUUGUGGUUGUGGGAGCAUUGUUGAUUAUUGGUUAUUUGUAUCACGGUUCAGGUGGAGCUGUUGAUGCUUUCAGUAGACUUGAAGGUGGUUUUUCAUGCACAUCAGAACUUCAAAGAGCAUUACCUAUAUUACAGAAAGUCUAUGGUGACAGCAUGCGAAAAGUAUUGCAUGUAGGGCCUGACGCUUGUUCAGUGGUGUCUACACUGUUAAAAGAGGAGGGUACUGAAGCAUGGGGUGUUGAACCCUACGAGUUAGAUGAAACUGAUGAAACUUGCAAGAGUCUUGUUUACAAGGGAAUAGUGCGAGUAGCUGAUAUCAAGUUUCCUCUUCCCUAUCGUUCAAACUCAUUCUCUCUUGUCAUAGUGUCGGAUGCAGUGGAUUACUUGUCUCCAAAAUAUCUCAACAAGACUUCCAGAAUUGGCGAGGGUGGCAGCUGAUGGUUUGAUUGUUUUAUCUGGUUAUCCAGGUCAGCAAAGGGCUAAAGUGGCAGAACUUUCGAAAUUUGGCCGCCCUGCCAAAUUGCGAAGUUCGUCCUGGUGGAUUGGAUUUUUUGCUCAAUCCAGCUUAGAAGAGAAUGAAGUUGCAAUCAAGAAGUUUGAGCAAGUGGCAAGCAAGAGGUUUUAUCAGCCAGCUUGCCAAAUUUUCCACCUCAAACCACUCCAUUGAGAAAUCCUUAGCUUGUUCCAAACAGAUAUAAAAGCAUCUG
RNA transcript from Solanum verrucosum, 855 nucleotides. It is a transcript of the gene named probable pectin methylesterase CGR3, with no coding region annotated. The record is from RefSeq and is a predicted model, not a curated record. The transcript is spliced from 7 exons. Lineage: Eukaryota; Viridiplantae; Streptophyta; Magnoliopsida; Solanales; Solanaceae.